UUUAGCGCGGACGGGUGAGUAAGAUAUGGGAAUCUACCUAAAGAUGGGGGAUAACUAUCGGAAACGGUAGCUAAUACCGCGUAAGCUCUCGAUGAGGAAACUGAUCGAGAGGAAAGCGGGGGAUAUGUCAUAAUCAUCGAUAUACCUCGCGUCUUUAGAUGAGCCCAUACGAGAUUAGCUAGUAGGUGAGGUAAAAGCUCACCUAGGCAACAAUCUCUAGCUGGUCUGAGAGGACGACCAGCCACACUGGGACUGAGAUACGGCCCAGACUCCUACGGGAGGCAGCAGUGGGGAAUAUUGCACAAUGAGCGAAAGCUUGAUGCAGCUAUGCCGCGUGUAUGAAGAAGGCCUUAGGGUUGUAAAGUACUUUCAGUUGCGAAGAAAAAGAUGAAGAUAACACCUUCUUCGGAUGACGUUAGCAACAGAAGAAGCACCGGCUAACUCCGUGCCAGCAGCCGCGGUAAUACGGAGGGUGCGAGCGUUAAUCGGAAUUACUGGGCGUAAAGGGCACGCAGGUGGUAAGUUAAGUUGAUUUGUGAAAUCCCUGGGCUCAACCUAGGAAAGCAUUCAAAACUAAUUUACUAGAGUCUUGUAGGGGGGAAUAGAAUUCCAUGUGUAGCGGUGAAAUGCGUAGAGAUAUGGAGGAAUACCGAUAGCGAAGCAAUUCCCUGGACAAAGACUGACACUCAUGUGCGAAAGCAUGGGGAGCAAACAGGAUUAGAUACCCUGGUAGUCCAUGCUGUAAACGAUGUCGAUUAGGAGGUUGCUACGUUUAAGUAGUGACUUCCGAAGCUAACGCAUUAAAUCGACCGUCUGGGGAGUACGGCCGCAAGGUUAAAACUCAAAUGAAUUGACGGGGGCCCGCACAAGCGGUGGAGCAUGUGGUUUAAUUCGAUGCAACGCGAAAAACCUUACCUACUCUUGACAUCCAAAGAAAUCUGCAGAGAUGUAGAUGUGCCUUCGGGAACUUUGAGACAGGUGCUGCAUGGCUGUCGUCAGCUCGUGUUGUGAAAUGUUGGGUUAAGUCCCGCAACGAGCGCAACCCUUAUUCUUUGUUGCCAUCGAUUCGGUCGGGAACUCAAAGAAGACUGCCGGUGAUAAACCGGAGGAAGGAGAGGACGACGUCAAGUCAUCAUGGCCCUUACGAGUAGGGCUACACACGUGCUACAAUGG
Molecule: ribosomal RNA, 1173 nt
Filed under: endosymbiont of Pediculus humanus
Lineage: Bacteria; Pseudomonadati; Pseudomonadota; Gammaproteobacteria; Enterobacterales; Enterobacteriaceae
Description: bacterial SSU rRNA
Rfam family: Bacterial small subunit ribosomal RNA
Source: RNAcentral